Capra hircus (goat) is the source of this 3230-nucleotide long non-coding RNA. RefSeq lists it as uncharacterized. Lineage: Eukaryota; Metazoa; Chordata; Mammalia; Artiodactyla; Bovidae. The transcript is spliced from 2 exons. The record is from RefSeq and is a predicted model, not a curated record.
GAUUUUCUACAGACAAAAGGCUGGUGGAGGACUUGACUGGGGGUUUCUUCUGGGAAAGCCUCAGUGGGUCCUGCUUGGUUACCAUCCAGCCCUUCCCUAGUCCACCCCUGCCUGGCGUCUCCGCCCUCCAGGAGAAGGAAGUCAGCACGGAAACAGGCGGGAGGCCACGUGAGAGUUCAGAUGCCCUUUAUUUCUUUAGGGUGAAGUGUACACCUUGUCAGGGUGGCUGAGCGGUGAAGAAGACGCCUGCAGCGCAGGACAUGCCGGGGACUGGAGCCUGGUCUCCGGAUGCGUAAGAUCUGCUGGUGUAGGAAAUGGCAGGCCACUCCAGUAUUUUUGCUGGGAAACCGCAUGGCCAUUGGAGCCUCGGGGGGGCCACAGCGCAAAGGGUCACAAAGAACGACUGAACAGGCACACAGGCGGGAAGGUAAGAUUUGGGCGUUGCCAGCAACAGCAAAAAUUCGGUUUCUAUGUUUUGUCCUGCUUCUUGCAGUGGAGGAGCCAAUACAGGAAGGCAAGCUGGUAAUCUCUGUCUCCUGAACACUGUUAUCAUCUUGUCAGUGAUGUCCCUCCAGGUUCAAAUCAGUCCUGUUGGUUAGGCAGGCACGUUUGGCACGUGUAAAUCAUAAAUCUUGGUGAUGAAGAUCCCACAGUGCUAAACUUUUUAACGUGAUCCUGCAUUUUCUUGAGACUUCGCCAAGAUCACAUAGAUACUGGAAGUGAAAGUGAAGUCGCUCAGUCGUGUCCAACUCUUUGCAGUGUAGCCCAGAAGGCUCCACGGUCCAUAGGGUUCUCGGUGCAAGAAUACUGGAGUGGGUUGCCAUUUUGUUCUCCAGGGAAUCUUCGUGACCCCGGAAUUGAACCCAGGUCUCCCGCAUUGCAGGCAGAGGCUUUACCCUCUGAGCCACCAGGGAAGCCCAUGAGAUACUGAAGUGGCAGAUAAAUAGAGAUUAAACCGUGAAGACUUCAGAUCUCUUUUGACAAAACAUCGGCUUAAAUAUAAAUAAGAUCUUAUUCUGUAAAGAACUCAGGCCCAGCUGGUUCCAUGCCACGGAACCUAUCUUUUUUAGGGCCCAUCUCAUCAGACCUUUGACUAGGGGUUUAAGCAGCCAUGUGAAGGGUGUCCAGGCCUGCUCCAUUCUGUAUGCUUGUAAUUGAUCUUCUACAAAUUUACUUGCUUUCUCUGUGAGAACAUUAGCAAGUGUAUCUUGAAGAGUUUCCAUUAGCUCGGUCUUGGUUAAAGAAAUCAAUCUCUCCAUGCCAGAAAAGGGAGCUUGUGUGAGUGUGUCUGUUCCUUUCAGUCCACGUCCUGAAUUUAUUUGCUCGGUAUGAGCAAUCUCCUCCACUUGUUGUAUGUUAAGCGCUUUACAGCGCAUAGAAUUUUUAAAGUGCAGUUGUAACUCUUAAGUCAGAUUUAAGUGCUCCACUUUUUAAGACAAAGUAGGCUUUUAGAGCUCAUAAAAUUUCUAAAGGGCAGUUGGAAAUCCCCAGUUUCCUGAUAACUUUCAUUUGUCAGCGGUCUAAGUUGUCAAAACUUUUGAUUGGCUCUCUUGAUUUCCGUGCACGUGGACAGCGCGUGAUCACCAUAGACUCCUGUUAUAAUGAUGGCACAUGACGAUUUGACCUUUAAUGUGAUUGGUGCAAUUAUGGAAAGUCCCUGGUGUAAGAAACGCCGCGGGAAGAAAGAGCCACCUCUACGGACCGUUGAUCAGAGCCAUUAUUGGGCGGUCGCUCUCGGACAGAACUCCCGGGGAUCAUCGAUGGCGGUGACCCUGGUGGACACUGCUCCCGGUGAUCGUCGGAUUACCUGUCCUCUCCUUGCUGACCUUCGUCAGUGCCACGGCUGUGCAACAGUUUUUAGAGAAGCCUGGGUUUAAUGACACACAAGGCCAUCAACCAUGAGGGUACAACAGUGUCAGCAUCCGUACUGGGAGUUCAACAAGCUCAGACCAUCGAGGUUAUAAACAUAUCCAGUGCCUCUGCUCAAGGAUUUCAAACCAGCUCGAACACCUGAAGAUCCGCCAUAAUGGGACUCCAACAACAGCUUGAUCUCCACGCCAGAGCGAUCGAGACGUUGAGUGUCUUGGCGCGCAUAGACUGGGAUGUGAGAUACCCCAGCUUUUGUCUGACAGCUUUUCCAGUGUUAAAUGAGACUCUAACAGGUGAAAAAGGGAGCAAUGGAUCUAUGGGACUGGGUACAAAGUCCAUUUACCUGGUUUAAAAAUGCCUUCUAUUUGCUUGUUUUUGUUAUUCUGCUUGUUGUAAUGUUAAAGGUAAAAAAUCUCACAGCCCACAAUAGGUGCUUACAGCAAAAAAUAGUUAUGCUUGCCCAGGUCAUGGAAAAGGAGUCCCACAUUGGGCACCCACAAAAUCUCUGGAUUAAUUUAGCCCUUCGAGAGAUUAACCGAGACAUAUAAAUAAAAAAGAGUUCUAGAUACCCAUCAUCUAGAGAGAUUCCGCCUAGCCCCCAAGAGGUGGCUGGAUAGCCAAUGACGGGUAAGACCCUCAGAGGAGGGCAACCUAAGACAGGCACAGCCGCGAGAGGGGCUGGCGAGGCUGGAGGUUGGCCGCCUACAGUUUUACGCCUUGCCUUACAGAACAUCAAUACAAAUGUCUCCAGGGCUUAAAUCAAAUAAAAAAGGGGGAGAUGUGGGGCCCUAAAUGGGAAACCUUAAAGAGAAGGGCUAGCUUUGCAGUUGGAAACUAAGAUGGCACCUGGUGGAAGAGAUAGGUGCGUGGUCUAAGAGGUUUUCAAAACUUUUGAUUGGCUCUCUUGAUUUCCAAGCACGUGGACAGCACGUGAUCACCAUAGACUCCUGUUAUAAUGAUGGCACAUGACGAUUUGACUUUUAAUGUGAUUGGUGCAACUAUGGAAAGUCCCUCGAAACCCCCCCCCCCCCCCCGCCGCUUGCCUUUAUAAGUCGGGAGCUUGUGGCAAAAAAGCGGAACUGCUUAGAUGGAACCCCUGUCGCAUCUGAUUGUCUCUCACUUGCCGAGGGGCUGGGUUGGCGGACAGCAGGCUCACCUCUCCUCGGGACCCCUCGGCUUUGCUGAGGGAAGUUCCACUGCCUCUCUCUUUCUGCGGAGCACCCCCCGCAUCAAUGUUUCUUUAUCUUUACCUUCUUAUGAAUAAAAACACUAAAUAUGUUUAUUAAACACACAUCUUGUACCACCUAAAGAAAAAUUAUGCUUUAUGAAAUCUAAUGUUCGUAAAAAGAAAUACAAUUCAA